CAGGACGAACGCUGGCGGCGUGCCUAACACAUGCAAGUCGAGCGAGGAGAUCCUCGGGAUGAUCCUAGCGGCGGACGGGUGAGUAACACGUGGGCAACCUGCCUCAUAGAGAGGAAUAGCCUUCCGAAAGGGAGAUUAAUACCUCAUAACAUUGCAGUUUCGCAUGGAACAGCAAUUAAAGGAGUAAUCCGCUAUGAGAUGGGCCCGCGGCGCAUUAGCUAGUUGGUGAGGUAACGGCUCACCAAGGCGACGAUGCGUAGCCGACCUGAGAGGGUGAUCGGCCACAUUGGGACUGAGACACGGCCCAGACUCCUACGGGAGGCAGCAGUGGGGAAUAUUGCACAAUGGGGGAAACCCUGAUGCAAGCAACGCCGCGUGAGUGAUGACGGCCUUCGGGUUGUAAAGCUCUGUCUUCAGGGACGAUAAUGACGGUACCUGAGGAGGAAGCCACGGCUAACUACGUGCCAGCAGCCGC
This 475-nucleotide ribosomal RNA is filed under the name uncultured bacterium. Its description in RNAcentral is "bacterial SSU rRNA". It matches the Rfam family "Bacterial small subunit ribosomal RNA", at positions 25 to 518 of the family's 1533-position model. The record is from RNAcentral.